This 428-nucleotide ribosomal RNA is filed under the name uncultured bacterium. Its description in RNAcentral is "bacterial SSU rRNA". It matches the Rfam family "Bacterial small subunit ribosomal RNA", at positions 30 to 464 of the family's 1533-position model. The record is from RNAcentral.
AUUGAACGCUGGCGGAAUGCUUUACACAUGCAAGUCGAACGGUAGAGGGGGCAACCCCUCGAGAGUGGCGAACGGGUGAGUAAUAUAUCGGAACGUGCCCAGUCGUGGGGGAUAACGUAGCGAAAGUUACGCUAAUACCGCAUACGAUCUACGGAUGAAAGCGGGGGAUCGCAAGACCUCGCGCGAUUGGAGCGGCCGAUAUCAGAUUAGGUAGUUGGUGGGGUAAAGGCUCACCAAGCCAACGAUCUGUAGCUGGUCUGAGAGGACGACCAGCCACACUGGAACUGAGACACGGUCCAGACUCCUACGGAGGCAGCAGUGGGGAAUUUUGGACGAAUGGACGCAAGUCUGAUCCAGCCAUUCCGCGUGCAGGAUGAAGGCCCUCGGGUUGUAACUGCUUUGUCAGGGAAGAAAUCUUCUGGGCUAAU